Non-coding RNA from Tuber magnatum (white Piedmont truffle), 74 nucleotides. Lineage: Eukaryota; Fungi; Ascomycota; Pezizomycetes; Pezizales; Tuberaceae. The record is from the annotation of a GenBank genome assembly.
GCCCAGUUGGCGUAAUAGUAUCGCAUCAGAGUACUAAUUUCUGAGCGGUGUGGGUUCGACUCCCACCCUGGGCU